UUUUGGAUGCAGAACGGCUAAUCGGAAAUCUGCUUCUUCCGUUUUCGCGUCUGGAUCCCUCCAGGUUGCUGAUCAGCUCUGUGCCAAAUACAGCAAGGAAUAUGGCAAGUUGUGCAGGACCAACCAGAUCGGGACUGUGAAUGAUAGGCUAAUGCAUAAACUGAGUGUAGAAGCCCCACCCAAGAUCCUAGUGGAGAGAUACCUGAUUGAAA
Molecule: long non-coding RNA, 212 nt
Filed under: Rattus norvegicus (Norway rat)
Lineage: Eukaryota; Metazoa; Chordata; Mammalia; Rodentia; Muridae
Description: long non-coding RNA NONRATT014263
Source: RNAcentral